RNAcentral lists this ribosomal RNA (396 nucleotides) under uncultured bacterium. Its description in RNAcentral is "bacterial SSU rRNA". It matches the Rfam family "Bacterial small subunit ribosomal RNA", at positions 28 to 428 of the family's 1533-position model. The record is from RNAcentral.
GACGAACGCUGGCGGCGUGCUUAACACAUGCAAGUCGAGCGGUAAGGCCCUUUCGGGGGUACACGAGCGGCGAACGGGUGAGUAACACGUGGGUGACCUGCCUUUAGCUCUGGGAUAAGCCUGGGAAACUGGGUCUAAUACCGGAUACGACUCCGCGGUGCAUGCUGUGGGGUGGAAAGCCUUGUGCGGCUGGAGAUGGGCCCGCGGCCUAUCAGCUUGUUGGUGGGGUGAUGGCCACCAAGGCGACGACGGGUAGCCGGCCUGAGAGGGCGACCGGCCACACUGGGACUGAGACACGGCCCAGACUCCUACGGGAGGCAGCAGUGGGGAAUCUUGCGCAAUGAGCGAAAGCCUGACGCAGCGACGCCGCGUGCGGGAGGACGGCCUCGGUCGUAA